UAUAGGUUUGGUCCCAGCCUUCCUGUUAACUUUCAAUAGACUUAUACAUGCAAGCAUCCACGCCCCGGUGAGUAACGCCCUUCGAAUCACACAGGACUAAAAGGAGCAGGUAUCAAGCACACACUCUUGUAGCUCACAACGCCUUGCUUAACCACACCCCCACGGGAGACAGCAGUAACAAAAAUUAAGCCAUAAACGAAAGUUUGACUAAGCCAUAUUGACUAGGGUUGGUAAAUCUCGUGCCAGCCACCGCGGUCAUACGAUUGACCCAAGCUAACAGGAGUACGGCGUAAAGCGUGUUAAAGCAUCAUACUAAAUAGAGUUAAAUUUUAAUUAAACUGUAAAAAGCCAUAAUUAUAACAAAAAUAAAUGACGAAAGUAACCCUACAAUAGCUGAUACACCAUAGCUAAGACCCAAACUGGGAUUAGAUACCCCACUACACUUAGCCCUAAACACAAAUAAUUAU
Molecule: ribosomal RNA, 467 nt
Filed under: Ovis aries (sheep)
Lineage: Eukaryota; Metazoa; Chordata; Mammalia; Artiodactyla; Bovidae
Description: partial 12S ribosomal RNA
Source: RNAcentral